Molecule: ribosomal RNA, 253 nt
Filed under: uncultured bacterium
Lineage: Bacteria
Description: partial 16S ribosomal RNA
Rfam family: Bacterial small subunit ribosomal RNA
Source: RNAcentral
UACGAAGGGGGCUAGCGUUGCUCGGAAUCACUGGGCGUAAAGGGUGCGUAGGCGGGUCUUUAAGUCAGGGGUGAAAUCCUGGAGCUCAACUCCAGAACUGCCUUUGAUACUGGUAGUCUUGAGUCCGGAAGAGGUGAGUGGAAUUCCGAGUGUAGAGGUGAAAUUCGUAGAUAUUCGGAGGAACACCAGUGGCGAAGGCGGUUACCUGGAGCUUUGCUGACGCUGAUGCGCGAAAGCGUGGGGAGCGAUCCGG